UUAAUUUAUUUUUCUUUCUUUGUUUUUUUGAGUUAUCAAUAAGUAAAAAGUGUGAAUAUUUUCGUAACUUAAUAUUUUCUAUAAUAAAAUUAAUUUAAUUGGACUUCAACAUAAAUUGAUUUUACAAAACUCAUUUUAAAAGUUUAUACCAGACGUAAAAAGACACGACCCGCCCACCUGCAGCAACGGAAGAACAAGCCCGGGCAAGUCCUUCACGCUCGUCUGUUUCAUGAGUUUAUUUGAACAAGGUUUUCCACGGAGCCGGAUCAUUUAUACUUCAAGUUCCCCAUGCCUAACUGGAGCGCCUGGCUGAAGCCAUGUUUUCCUACACCGCUUACCCCAAUGAUGCCCAGAGAUGUGCAGUGGCAGAGGCACUAGUUGCAAAGCAUCCCUGCUUAAAGGAGCCCGGAUCUUUCAAUGGAAUUUAUGGGUGGCAGCAAAGCCUAAAGUACAAGUGUGGAAACUACCGGACAAAACGGAAAGCCCUUGGAAGCACUGAACUCCUGAUAAACUCACUGAGAAACAAGUCAAGUGAUGAGCGAAAAGCUGCUAAAAAUGUCAAGAAACCAAAGAGGGCAGAGGUGAAUUACUUGCCCUCACACCCACAUGGUGAAACAGAUGACACCCUUGAGAAUCUGAGACUUGACUUAAUUGCUGCCCCAAAGCUUGAUUACCCCAAAGCUCCUAGAGCUCUUUAGUGCCAAGGGUGGAGCAACUGGUCAACGCAUCAAAAACUUGAUGAUGGAACUGAUACAGGACCCAAGUGCCACUGCAGUGAAGAAGAAGAGAUGUCACUCUGAGAUGCCU
This is a long non-coding RNA of Cyprinus carpio (common carp), 807 nucleotides long. RefSeq lists it as uncharacterized. The record is from RefSeq and is a predicted model, not a curated record. The transcript is spliced from 3 exons. NCBI's taxonomy places the organism in Eukaryota, Metazoa, Chordata, Actinopteri, Cypriniformes, Cyprinidae.